This 859-nucleotide long non-coding RNA is filed under the name Olea europaea subsp. europaea. Lineage: Eukaryota; Viridiplantae; Streptophyta; Magnoliopsida; Lamiales; Oleaceae. The record is from RNAcentral.
AUCCGAUCUCAUUUGUAACUUCUCUAUCUUACUAAGUGCUAAAAAUCCCUUAGUGAAGGGUGGUGUAACUUCUCUAAGUAAUGAUACUUUAGUUCUUUGUCACAUCGGUUAGUAAAUUGUUACCUCAGCUCUUCAAUAUGUUAAUUAGUCCGAUCUUCUGUUAUUAACCGAUUAUUGGUAAAUGGCGCAUCAUGUUUACUUAAGUGAUUGUCAUUCAUAUACUCAAAUGUAAACGGUUCAACACAAUAGAAAAGCAGAAGCAACAAUACUUAACAAAAAAAAUUCAUUUCAUUCAUUUGGAAUUGGAUUACAAAAGAGGUCGAAGCCACCACAAAAAUUAAUUAACUUUAUUCUACUGGGGUCUGAUCUCUCUGUCCGAUUUCUAACCUUGGAGUUAUAAUACGAGGUGUUCAACACCCAUCCGAAGUGGUUCCGAAGUAACACCACCACCAAUGUUGUUGAUCUGCUAAUGCACUACGAGAUACAGACAAUUUACUGAAUCGAUCGAAGCGUCCUAGCCCCUGAAGUUGAGGCGCACUACAUUUUGAGGCUCUCUAUCAGAGGAUCUGCCGCCAAUUUCAGAAAAAGAUCUAUGUCAAGGUCCUUUCUGCCCCCAAGGUUUAAUUGAUUGGACAUCUCCAUGAGCCUAGUUGAUGUGAUGUAUCAACUUUAUGUCAACUCAACUCGGGAGAAGUAAUUACCCGCCCACUCUAUAGACGCGACUGAUUGAAGCCUAUGAGCAAACGCCUCACACCGUCAGAUGCAUACACGUGUCCCACAUCCAACGAUUCUCCUCACCUAUAAAUACCCAAGGUUUGACAAGAGGUAAAGGUAAUGAAACUCUUACAACAUAUCUUUC